ACGGGGGGUGCAAGCGUUACUCGGAAUCACUGGGCGUAAAGAGCAUGUAGGCGGAUUAAUAAGUUUGAAGUGAAAUCCUAUAGCUUAACUAUAGAACUGCUUUGAAAACUGGUAAUCUAGAAUGUCGUAGAGGUGGAUAGAAUUUCUGGUGUAGCGGUGAAAUGCGUAGAGAUCAGGAGGAAUACCGAUGGCGAAGGCGGCCCCCUGGACGAAUACUGACGCUCAGGUGCGAAAGCGUGGGGAGCAAACAG
This 251-nucleotide ribosomal RNA is filed under the name uncultured prokaryote. RNAcentral describes it as "partial 16S rRNA". It matches the Rfam family "Bacterial small subunit ribosomal RNA", at positions 525 to 775 of the family's 1533-position model. The record is from RNAcentral.